RNAcentral lists this ribosomal RNA (253 nucleotides) under uncultured bacterium. RNAcentral describes it as "partial 16S ribosomal RNA". It matches the Rfam family "Bacterial small subunit ribosomal RNA", at positions 524 to 776 of the family's 1533-position model. The record is from RNAcentral.
GACGAACCGAGCGAACGUUGUUCGGAAUCACUGGGCUUAAAGGGCGCGUAGGCGGGCGGACAAGUCAAGGGUGAAAGCCCCCGGCUCAACCGGGGAAGUGCCCCUGAUACUGGCCGCCUCGAGGGAGGUAGGGGCGUGCGGAACUUCCGGUGGAGCGGUGAAAUGCGUAGAUAUCGGAAGGAACACCGGUGGCGAAAGCGGCGCGCUGGACCUCUUCUGACGCUGAGGCGCGAAAGCCAGGGGAGCGAACGGG